AUUGAACGCUGGCGGCAGGCCUAACACAUGCAAGUCGAACGGUAACAGGAAGCAGCUUGCUGCUUUGCUGACGAGUGGCGGACGGGUGAGUAAUGUCUGGGAAACUGCCUGAUGGAGGGGGAUAACUACUGGAAACGGUAGCUAAUACCGCAUAAUGUCGCAAGACCAAAGAGGGGGACCUUCGGGCCUCUUGCCAUCGGAUGUGCCCAGAUGGCAUUAGCUAGUAGGUGGGGUAAAGGCUCACCUAGGCGACGAUCCCUAGCUGGUCUGAGAGGAUGACCAGCCACACUGGAACUGAGACACGGUCCAGACUCCUACGGGAGGCAGCAGUGGGGAAUAUUGCACAAUGGGCGCAAGCCUGAUGCAGCCAUGCCGCGUGUAUGAAGAAGGCCUUCGGGUUGUAAAGUACUUUCAGCGGGGAGGAAGGGAGUAAAGUUAAUACCUUUGCUCAUUGACGUUACCCGCAGAAGAAGCACCGGCUAACUCCGUG
RNAcentral lists this ribosomal RNA (490 nucleotides) under uncultured bacterium. Its description in RNAcentral is "partial 16S ribosomal RNA". It matches the Rfam family "Bacterial small subunit ribosomal RNA", at positions 30 to 507 of the family's 1533-position model. The record is from RNAcentral.